AACGAACGCUGGCGGCAGGCUUAACACAUGCAAGUCGAGCGCAUCCUUCGGGGUGAGCGGCGGACGGGUGAGUAACGCGUGGGAACGUGCCCUCUUCUACGGAAUAGCCUCGGGAAACUGAGAGUAAUGCCGUAUACGCCCGCAAGGGGAAAGAUUUAUCGGAGGAGGAUCGGCCCGCGUUGGAUUAGGUAGUUGGUGGGGUAACGGCCUACCAAGCCGACGAUCCAUAGCUGGUUUGAGAGGAUGAUCAGCCACACUGGGACUGAGACACGGCCCAGACUCCCACGGGAGGCAGCAGUGGGGAAUCUUGGACAAUGGGGGCAACCCUGAUCCAGCCAUGCCGCGUGAUCGAUGAAGGCCUUAGGGUUGUAAAGAUCUUUCAGCUGGGAAGAUAAUGACGGUACCAGCAGAAGAAGCCCCGGCUAACUCCGUG
This 433-nucleotide ribosomal RNA is filed under the name uncultured bacterium. RNAcentral's name for it is "partial 16S ribosomal RNA". It matches the Rfam family "Bacterial small subunit ribosomal RNA", at positions 29 to 507 of the family's 1533-position model. The record is from RNAcentral.